Molecule: ribosomal RNA, 331 nt
Filed under: uncultured fungus
Lineage: Eukaryota; Fungi
Description: SSU rRNA
Rfam family: Eukaryotic small subunit ribosomal RNA
Source: RNAcentral
UAACCUAUUAAAUAGUUGUUUGAACUUGAUUUUAAAAAAGUCAAAUGUUCAACUAACUUCUUAGAGGGACUCUUCACUGAGAGAGUGAAUGGAAGUUUGAGGCAAAAACAGGUCUGUGAUGCCCUUAGAUGUUCUGGGCCACACGCGCGUUACACUGACAUAUUCAACGAGCAUUAUCCUUGCCCGUCGGGGUUGGGUAAUCUUUUAAAUGUAUGUCGUGCUGGGGAUAGAUCAUUGUAAUUAUUGGUCUUGAACGAGGAAUUCCUAGUAAGUGCGAGUCAUCAACUCGCGCUGAUUACGUCCCUGCCCUUUGUACACACCGCCCGUCGCU